UACGUAGGUGGCAAGCGUUGUCCGGAUUUAUUGGGUUUAAAGGGUGCGUAGGCGGUUCCUUAAGUCAGUUGUGAAAUACGGCAGCUUAACUGUCGAGGUGCAAUUGAUACUGGGGAACUUGAGUACUGAUGAGGUAUGCGGAAUGGACGGUGUAGCGGUGAAAUGCUUAGAUAUCGUCCAGAACACCGAUAGCGAAGGCAGCAUACUAAGGAGUAACUGACGCUGAGGCACGAAAGUGUGGGGAUCAAACAGG
RNAcentral lists this ribosomal RNA (253 nucleotides) under uncultured bacterium. Its description in RNAcentral is "partial 16S ribosomal RNA". It matches the Rfam family "Bacterial small subunit ribosomal RNA", at positions 524 to 776 of the family's 1533-position model. The record is from RNAcentral.